This 580-nucleotide ribosomal RNA is filed under the name uncultured bacterium. RNAcentral describes it as "partial 16S ribosomal RNA". It matches the Rfam family "Bacterial small subunit ribosomal RNA", at positions 355 to 932 of the family's 1533-position model. The record is from RNAcentral.
UGGGGAAUUUUGGACAAUGGGCGAAAGCCUGAUCCAGCAAUGCCGCGUGUGUGAAGAAGGCCUUCGGGUUGUAAAGCACUUUUGUCCGGAAAGAAAUCCUUGGCUCUAAUACAGUCGGGGGAUGACGGUACCGGAAGAAUAAGCACCGGCUAAUUACGUGCCAGCAGCCGCGGUAAUACGUAGGGUGCAAGCGUUAAUCGGAAUUACUGGGCGUAAAGCGUGCGCAGGCGGUUUGCUAAGACCGAUGUGAAAUCCCCGGGCUCAACCUGGGAACUGCAUUGGUGACUGGCAGGCUAGAGUAUGGCAGAGGGGGGUAGAAUUCCACGUGUAGCAGUGAAAUGCGUAGAGAUGUGGAGGAAUACCGAUGGCGAAGGCAGCCCCCUGGGCCAAUACUGACGCUCAUGCACGAAAGCGUGGGGAGCAAACAGGAUUAGUACCCUGGUAGUCCCACGCCCUAAACCGAUGUCAACUAGUUGUUGGGGAUUCAUUUCCUUAGUAACGUAGCUAACGCGUGAAGUUGACCGCCUGGGGAGUACGGUCGCAAGAUUAAAACUCAAAGGAAUUGACGGGGUCAUAGCUG